RNAcentral lists this ribosomal RNA (254 nucleotides) under uncultured bacterium. RNAcentral's name for it is "partial 16S ribosomal RNA". It matches the Rfam family "Bacterial small subunit ribosomal RNA", at positions 524 to 777 of the family's 1533-position model. The record is from RNAcentral.
UACGUAGGGUGCGAGCGUUGUCCGGAAUUACUGGGCGUAAAGAGUUCGUAGGCGGUUUGUCGCGUCGUUCGUGAAAACUUGGGGCUUAACUCCAAGCGUGCGGGCGAUACGGGCAGACUUGAGUACUACAGGGGAGACUGGAAUUCCUGGUGUAGCGGUGAAAUGCGCAGAUAUCAGGAGGAACACCGGUGGCGAAGGCGGGAUCUCUGGGUAGUAACUGCGCUGAGGAACGAAAGCGUGGGUAGCGAACAGGA